GAUCAUGGCUCAGAUUGAACGCUGGCGGCAGGCCUAACAUAUGCAAGUCGAACGGUAACAGGAAGAAGCUUGCUUCUUUGCUGACGAGUGGCGGACGGGUGAGUAAUGUCUGGGAAACUGCCUGAUGGAGGGGGAUAACUACUGGAAACGGUAGCUAAUACCGCAUAACGUCGCAAGACCAAAGAGGGGGGACCUUCGGGCCUCUUGCCAUCGGAUGUGCCCAGAUGGGAUUAGCUAGUAGGUGGGGUAACGGCUCACCUAGGCGACGAUCCCUAGCUGGUCUGAGAGGAUGACCAGCCACACUGGAACUGAGACACGGUCCAGACUCCUACGGGAGGCAGCAGUGGGGAAUAUUGCACAAUGGGCGCAAGCCUGAUGCAGCCAUGCCGCGUGUAUGAAGAAGGCCUUCGGGUUGUAAAGUACUUUCAGCGGGGAGGAAGGGAGUAAAGUUAAUACCUUUGCUCAUUGACGUUACCCGCAGAAGAAGCACCGGCUAACUCCGUG
RNAcentral lists this ribosomal RNA (504 nucleotides) under uncultured bacterium. Its description in RNAcentral is "bacterial SSU rRNA". It matches the Rfam family "Bacterial small subunit ribosomal RNA", at positions 15 to 507 of the family's 1533-position model. The record is from RNAcentral.